CCUACGGGAGGCAGCAGUGAGGAAUAUUGGUCAAUGGACGAGAGUCUGAACCAGCCAAGUAGCGUGAAGGAUGAUUGCCCUAUGGGUUGUAAACUUCUUUUAUAUGGGAAUAAAACGUUCCCCGUGUGGGAUUUUGUAUGUACCAUAUGAAUAAGGAUCGGCUAACUCCGUGCCAGCAGCCGCGGUAAUACGGAGGAUCCGAGCGUUAUCCGGAUUUUUUGGGUUUAAGGGGGGCGUAGGUGGAUUGUUAAGUCAGUUGGGAAAGUUUGCGGUUCAACGGUAAAAUUGCAGUUGAAACUGGCAGUCUUGAGUACAGUAGAGGUGGGAGGAAUUCGUGGUGUAGCGGUGAAAUGCUUAGAUAUCACGAAGAACUCCGAUUGCGAAGGCAGUUCACUGGACUGCAACUGACACUGAGGCUCGAAAGUGUGGGUAUCAAACAGGAUUAGAUACCCUUGUAGUC
This 460-nucleotide ribosomal RNA is filed under the name uncultured bacterium. Its description in RNAcentral is "partial 16S ribosomal RNA". It matches the Rfam family "Bacterial small subunit ribosomal RNA", at positions 338 to 795 of the family's 1533-position model. The record is from RNAcentral.